RNAcentral lists this ribosomal RNA (624 nucleotides) under Bacillus sp. NCIM 5220. RNAcentral's name for it is "bacterial SSU rRNA". It matches the Rfam family "Bacterial small subunit ribosomal RNA", at positions 658 to 1279 of the family's 1533-position model. Lineage: Bacteria; Bacillati; Bacillota; Bacilli; Caryophanales; Bacillaceae. The record is from RNAcentral.
AGAGUGGAAUUCCACGUGUAGCGGUGAAAUGCGUAGAGAUGUGGAGGAACACCAGUGGCGAAGGCGACUCUCUGGUCUGUAACUGACGCUGAGGAGCGAAAGCGUGGGGAGCGAACAGGAUUAGAUACCCUGGUAGUCCACGCCGUAAACGAUGAGUGCUAAGUGUUAGGGGGUUUCCGCCCCUUAGUGCUGCAGCUAACGCAUUAAGCACUCCGCCUGGGGAGUACGGUCGCAAGACUGAAACUCAAAGGAAUUGACGGGGGCCCGCACAAGCGGUGGAGCAUGUGGUUUAAUUCGAAGCAACGCGAAGAACCUUACCAGGUCUUGACAUCCUCUGACAAUCCUAGAGAUAGGACGUCCCCUUCGGGGGCAGAGUGACAGGUGGUGCAUGGUUGUCGUCAGCUCGUGUCGUGAGAUGUUGGGUUAAGUCCCGCAACGAGCGCAACCCUUGAUCUUAGUUGCCAGCAUUCAGUUGGGCACUCUAAGGUGACUGCCGGUGACAAACCGGAGGAAGGUGGGGAUGACGUCAAAUCAUCAUGCCCCCUUAUGACCUGGGCUACACACGUGCUACAAUGGACAGAACAAAGGGCAGCGAAACCCGCGAGGGUUAAGCCAAUCCCCACA